Molecule: long non-coding RNA, 316 nt
Organism: Lagenorhynchus albirostris (white-beaked dolphin)
Lineage: Eukaryota; Metazoa; Chordata; Mammalia; Artiodactyla; Delphinidae
Exons: 4
Source: RefSeq, a predicted model, not a curated record
CUGAUGGAAAAAUACAUAAGAAUACAUUGCUAAAAGGUGUGAAAGCCCUCAAAGGACCAAGGGUCAAAAUCAAAAAACUGGACUCCUUUAUGGAAAACAUGGGAAUUAGACUCAAGGAUGAGGAAUUUGAGGAACUAAUGACCCAACUGUCAGCUGAUGGUGAUAAUACAGUUGGUCUGAAUGAUUUGAUGGAUGCUCUCAGUUAUAUCAAGGGAGAGGUGAUUGAUAUCCAGGACUUAGACAACUUUCUAGCAAAUGAGGGGGUUGAGCUCACAGAAGAAGAAAUGAAACUAAUGCCUCAUUUGACAUUCAAUGG